RNAcentral lists this unclassified non-coding RNA (18 nucleotides) under synthetic construct. The record is from RNAcentral.
AGAAGGAGGGAGGGAGGA